Pezoporus occidentalis (night parrot) is the source of this 1741-nucleotide long non-coding RNA. RefSeq lists it as uncharacterized. NCBI's taxonomy places the organism in Eukaryota, Metazoa, Chordata, Aves, Psittaciformes, Psittacidae. The record is from RefSeq and is a predicted model, not a curated record. The transcript is spliced from 4 exons.
GUAGUAAAGCCAAACUACUUGUGGAUGAAGGUAAUUCUUGGUUGUUGGAAAGCUGCUAGAAGAGCUUCUUAGAGGAAGUGAUGGAAACUUGCUUGAGGACGCUGGGACUAAAUGUUGUCCUGGCAGUAUACGAGGCUGUAAAAUCAUAAAAAGUAGAGUUAAAAUGCAGACACCAAUCCUGAGGAUCUACCUGCUGGAGGCUUAUGCAGCUUAGAAAGCAGGUGUGCUUGACAAUAAACAGUACAAGGAGAAUGUGGGCUUACAUUUUCUGAUGGAAACAACUUUCUCUACUGUCUUGCAAGGAGAAAGGCAAAUUCAGCUUCAAAGCUUCUUCAGAAUCACAUUUCCUGUAUCUAUUUGUUGUAAUCUAUUUCUGUUGCACUCUUUCAAUCCCGAGCAUAUAUUCCCCAUGAUACUCAAAAAAGUAAUCCUUCCUCACCCUUCCUUGUAACUUAGCCUCUCCCUUUCACCUAAUCAUCUCAGCUGCCUUUCUUCCCAUCUAUUACAAAUCAUUGGUUCUAAUGUGUUUGACAUGAGCGAGAGAUAGUAGAGAUUUAUUUUUUGUUUUUUACAAAGGUUGUAGUAAUUUAUUUUUCUUGCUGUUACAGGAAGUUGUGUCUCAACUGCUGGUAUCGCAAUCUGAUUUUGAAGCUUUUUCAUGCUAAGACUCUUCAAAUGGGUGUUCCUCAGCAGGCCAGGGAGAAGUAUUUUCACUGAAUUGCAAAGCUAAGACCUAUGGGGCACGCAUCGCUGAAACCACUGAACAAACAGGACCUAGGAAACACACUGAAUUUGCAACUUCCAUCCCUUUCCUACUCAGAAAGCCCUGUCAAGUUUAAGUGCAAAGAAGAGCAUACUGCAGAGGCAGAGUUUCUUCUUUGGACCACCCCUCCCAGGGGCCAGACGCGGCUUCCAGUGAUGAAAGCAGAGGGAGACUCACCAUGUUUAUAUUCUUCUGUCAAAUGGCUGUUCUGCCAAAUCUAUUUUGGAAGCUUGCUGUCCUUCAAAACUUAAUGGUGAAGGGCUUCCUGUGGAGCUGUACUACAGUGUAUGCUUACUACAUCAUGCAGUAAGCCUUGUCAUCAGUAAACAGCAUUUACAUCUAUAGAAAAGGCCAGGGGGAUGACAAUGAAAAGAUUUAAAAAAACUCUGAGUAACAGGCAGUGCUUUGUAUAUGUCUGCUCAUACAUUCACUAGGAGUGACUAAAAAAAUCCAGAGAUAACUCACAUAGUCAAGUUUUAUGUGGAAAAAAUAACUGGCACGGAGAUCAGGUGGCACAUACCAAAAUGCUGGACUCUUUCUACAUGUUAAUCAACCAGUGUGUGAGAGAUUAAUCAAAAUGCAUGUUCUGUAACAUGUAACAAUGCAAAAUUCUCUUCUGUCAUAUGAAACCAGAAAAAAUGCUAGUUAUGUGCAUGACCAAAAAGGUACCAUGUUUUUCAAUUAGUAUAAAAGCCUGAACAGUGACAAUGACAAUCAACCAGUGAGUGGCAGAGCACAAAACUCACCCUGGACUAGGCCAAUGAAUCAAAGUAUUGCUGGAAUUGCAAAUACUAAUGCAACUGUCAAAGAUUUAAAGUACUUAAAUUCAAAGGUAUUAAAGCAAUAAAAUUCUACCAACAUGGUAGCCUUAAGGCAAUGAGAUGUCUUAAUAACCUAAAAAUUGAAUUGGCACUCUCUUCUCUGCCCUGAAUCAUAAAUAAAAGUUCUACCAUGGUUAAUUUGGCCUUUCAGAUUUCC